CUCCAAAAAUGUUUUAGAACAAUCUUCCAGUCAUGAAUUUAGUGUUCCUAUAAUUAAUGAAGAUGUUUAUGUUCAAGAUUCCAGUAAGAGUUAUAUACAAGGAAAGAGUGCUCCUGUAAACAUCAAUGUUCAGCAAAGUUCAACCAAUAGUUCUUUAAAGUCAGAAAUGAGUUAUACUGAAAAAUCUGAAAUUGAUAUUGAAAUACCUCUUAAAACAUCAGAAAGACAACAAUUAUACAGUAAAAUAAAU
This is a non-coding RNA of Hydra vulgaris (swiftwater hydra), 250 nucleotides long. The record is from RefSeq and is a predicted model, not a curated record. NCBI's taxonomy places the organism in Eukaryota, Metazoa, Cnidaria, Hydrozoa, Anthoathecata, Hydridae.